UACGGAAGGUCCGGGCGUUAUCCGGAUUUAUUGGGUUUAAAGGGAGCGUAGGCUGGAGAUUAAGCGUGUUGUGAAAUGUAGAUGCUCAACAUCUGAACUGCAGCGCGAACUGGUUUCCUUGAGUACGCAUAAAGUGGGCGGAAUUCGUGGUGUAGCGGUGAAAUGCUUAGAUAUCACGAAGAACUCCGAUUGCGAAGGCAGCUCACUGGGGCGCAACUGACGCUGAAGCUCGAAAGCGCGGGUAUCGAACAGG
RNAcentral lists this ribosomal RNA (253 nucleotides) under Segatella copri DSM 18205. Its description in RNAcentral is "Prevotella copri DSM 18205 partial 16S ribosomal RNA". It matches the Rfam family "Bacterial small subunit ribosomal RNA", at positions 524 to 776 of the family's 1533-position model. Lineage: Bacteria; Pseudomonadati; Bacteroidota; Bacteroidia; Bacteroidales; Prevotellaceae. The record is from RNAcentral.